UCAUUUUCUACGGAUUUAACAGGAAUAGAAUGGCACAAGGUUUAAUUACCAGGGAAAUAAAGCAAUCACAAAUGUGGAACUGGCACGGCUGCCACACUAACACGAAGAGAACUGCUAGCUACACAGAGAUUGGAAAACCCGCGGGUACACAAAGUUACACUGGUUACACUACCUGCGCCGCGACCGCCUCUAGAACAGUCCAACAUGAAAACCAGAAUCUCUUCCAUCCGUGCUCUGAGAUAUUUGCAGUCCAGAAAGUGAACAGUGUUUGGAAUUCUCAUGAAGACACUCUUUCCUCUUCUGGAAUCCAGUUAUGUCUCAAAUUUAUGUUUUAAAAUGUAUCUCCCUACCACUACCUGAGCUGCCUCAAUUAAAAACCACAAAAUUAA
Gorilla gorilla gorilla (western lowland gorilla) is the source of this 389-nucleotide long non-coding RNA. RefSeq lists it as uncharacterized. The record is from RefSeq and is a predicted model, not a curated record. The transcript is spliced from 2 exons. NCBI's taxonomy places the organism in Eukaryota, Metazoa, Chordata, Mammalia, Primates, Hominidae.